UUUUUCCCCCCCCCAGCCAACAAUUCUACUCAAAUAUCCCAAUCCAUCUUAUAUAUCGAGUUAACUUAUACUAAUAUAAGUAAAAAAAUGCUAGAAUGAGUAACAAGAAAACAUAAUUUUCUCAUCACACACGUGUUAGUCAGAACAGACCCACUACUGACAAUUAAUGAUAAAGAAAUAAAUGUAAUAACCAACCAUAAGCAAGAAAAUUCUACACCAUCGCACCGUAAAUUCUACACUGAAGUGUUUUAAGAAAGAUUAAAAGGGCGAGAAGGAACUCGGCAAACAUGAACCCCGCCUGUUUACCAAAAACAUCGCCUCUUGCUAAACUAUAAGAGGUACUGCCUGCCCUGUGACAUAUUGUUUAACGGCCGCGGUAUCCUGACCGUGCGAAGGUAGCAUAAUCACUUGUCUCCUAAUUAGGGACCUGUAUGAAUGGCAACACGAGGGUUCCCCUGUCUCCUCCCCCCAAUCAGUGAAAUUGAUCUGUCCGUUCAAAAGCGGACAUUUUAUCAUAAGACGAGAAGACCCUGUGGAGCUUCAAACUCUGAUGUUAAGCAUCAACGUAAAUUAAUACUUCAAGUGACCUAACAUCAAAUGUUUUCGGUUGGGGCGACCACGGAGAAUAAAAAACCCUCCGCAAUGUACGGAUAAACCAAUUUAUAGAAAAACUAUUCUUAAACUAGAAUAUUUAGCACAAUUGACCCAGAUAACUCUGAUCAAUGAACCAAGUUACCCCAGGGAUAACAGCGCAAUCCUUUCUAAGAGCCCCCAUCGACGAAAGGGUUUACGACCUCGAUGUUGGAUCAGGGUAUCCUGACGGUGCAGCCGCUGUCAAGGGUCUGUUUGUUCAACAGUUAAUAACCCUACGUGAUCUGAGUUCAGACCGGAGCAAUCCAGGUCGGUUUCUAUCU
Molecule: ribosomal RNA, 914 nt
Filed under: Protopterus dolloi (slender lungfish)
Lineage: Eukaryota; Metazoa; Chordata; Ceratodontiformes; Protopteridae
Description: partial 16S ribosomal RNA
Rfam family: Bacterial large subunit ribosomal RNA
Source: RNAcentral